UACGUAGGGACCAAGCGUUAAUCGGAAUUACUGGGCGUAAAGGGCUCGUAGGCGGCCAACUAAGUCAGACGUGAAAUCCCUCGGCUUAACCGGGGAACUGCGUCUGAUACUGGAUGGCUUGAGUGUGGGAGAGGGAUGCGGAAUUCCAGGUGUAGCGGUGAAAUGCGUAGAUAUCUGGAGGAACACCGGUGGCGAAGGCGGCAUCCUGGACCAUUACUGACGCUGAUGAGCGAAAGCCAGGGGAGCAAACGGG
This 253-nucleotide ribosomal RNA is filed under the name uncultured bacterium. RNAcentral's name for it is "partial 16S ribosomal RNA". It matches the Rfam family "Bacterial small subunit ribosomal RNA", at positions 524 to 776 of the family's 1533-position model. The record is from RNAcentral.